RNAcentral lists this ribosomal RNA (460 nucleotides) under uncultured bacterium. RNAcentral's name for it is "partial 16S ribosomal RNA". It matches the Rfam family "Bacterial small subunit ribosomal RNA", at positions 338 to 795 of the family's 1533-position model. The record is from RNAcentral.
CCUACGGGUGGCACCAGUGAGGAAUAUUGGUCAAUGGACGGAAGACUGAACCAGCCAUGUCGCGUGCAGGAUGAAGGCCCUACGAGUCGUAAACCGCUUUUGCACGAGGAUAACACCCUCCACUUGUGGAGGGCUGCAAGUAUCGUACGAAUAAGGACCGGCUAAUUCCGUGCCAGCAGCCGCGGUAAUACGGAGGAUCCGAGCGUUAUCCGGAUUUAUUGGGUUUAAAGGGAGCGUAGGCGGUUUGGUAAGUUAGUGGUGAAAUUUCGCGGCUCAACCGUAGAAUUGCAUUUGAUACUGGCAGCCUUGAGUAUAGUAGAGGUAGGCGGAAUGUGUGGUGUAGCGGUGAAAUGCUUAGAUAUCACGAAGAACUCCGAUUGCGAAGGCAGCCUGCUGGACUACAACUGACGCUGAUGCUCGAAAGCGUGGGGAGCAAACAGGAUUAGAUACCCGAGUAGUC